This 981-nucleotide ribosomal RNA is filed under the name uncultured Jonesia sp. RNAcentral describes it as "bacterial SSU rRNA". It matches the Rfam family "Bacterial small subunit ribosomal RNA", at positions 136 to 1114 of the family's 1533-position model. The record is from RNAcentral. Lineage: Bacteria; Bacillati; Actinomycetota; Actinomycetes; Micrococcales; Jonesiaceae.
CUUCGGGAUAACCAUUGGAAACGGUGGUUAAUACCGGGUAUGACAUCGGAUCGCAUGGUUUGGUGUGGAAAGGUUUUUUCUGGUGGGGGAUGGGCUCGCGGCCUAUCAGCUUGUUGGUGGGGUGAUGGCCUACCAAGGCUUUGACGGGUAGCCGGCCUGAGAGGGCGACCGGCCACACUGGUACUGAGACACGGCCCAGACUCCUACGGGAGGCAGCAGUGGGGAAUAUUGCACAAUGGGGGAAACCCUGAUGCAGCGACGCCGCGUGGGGGAUGAAGGCCUUCGGGUUGUAAACCCCUUUCAGUAAGGAACAAGGCCAUGAUUGUUGUUGUGGUUGAGGGUACUUGCAGAAGAAGCGCCGGCUAACUACGUGCCAGCAGCCGCGGUAAUACGUAGGGCGCAAGCGUUGUCCGGAAUUAUUGGGCGUAAAGAGCUCGUAGGCGGUUUGUCGCGUCUGUCGUGAAAUCCCGAUGCUUAACGUCGGGCUUGCGGUGGGUACGGGCAGGCUGGAGUGCGGUAGGGGUGACUGGAAUUCCUGGUGUAGCGGUGGAAUGCGCAGAUAUCAGGAGGAACACCGAUGGCGAAGGCAGGUCACUGGGCCGUUACUGACGCUGAGGAGCGAAAGCAUGGGGAGCGAACAGGAUUAGAUACCCUGGUAGUCCAUGCCGUAAACGUUGGGCACUAGGUGUGGGGAUUGUUCCACGAUUCCUGUACCGUAGCUAACGCAUUAAGUGCCCCGCCUGGGGAGUACGGCCGCAAGGGCUAAAACUCAAAGGAAUUGACGGGGGCCCGCACAAGCGGCGGAGCAUGCGGAUUAAUUCGAUGCAACGCGAAGAACCUUACCAAGGCUUGACAUACGCUAGAUCGCUCCAGAGAUGGGGUUUUCCUUUGGACUGGUGUACAGGUGGUGCAUGGUUGUCGUCAGCUCGUGUCGUGAGAUGUUGGGUUAAGUCCCGCAAGGAGCGCAACCCUAAUCGAAUU